This 233-nucleotide long non-coding RNA is filed under the name Mytilus galloprovincialis (Mediterranean mussel). Lineage: Eukaryota; Metazoa; Mollusca; Bivalvia; Mytilida; Mytilidae. The record is from RNAcentral.
GGGGGGGCUAGGAUGAAAAUUUGAAAAAUAGGCAGGACAGGAGUUUUGAGUAAAAAAAAAGGCAGGAUGAGACACUUGCAAAAAAAAAAAGUCAGGAUGACAAUUUAUGUAAAAAAAGUCAGGAUAAACUAAAAAAAAAAAAAGCAGGACCGAAUAGAGUGAAAAAUAAAAAGGCAGGACAGAUAUUACAACUAAAAAAAAAAUGCAGGACAAAAUUUUUCCUCCUAGCCCCC